RNAcentral lists this ribosomal RNA (935 nucleotides) under Staphylococcus aureus LAMC6078. Its description in RNAcentral is "bacterial SSU rRNA". It matches the Rfam family "Bacterial small subunit ribosomal RNA", at positions 8 to 924 of the family's 1533-position model. Lineage: Bacteria; Bacillati; Bacillota; Bacilli; Caryophanales; Staphylococcaceae. The record is from RNAcentral.
AGAGUUUGAUCCUGGCUCAGGAUGAACGCUGGCGGCGUGCCUAAUACAUGCAAGUCGAGCGAACGGACGAGAAGCUUGCUUCUCUGAUGUUAGCGGCGGACGGGUGAGUAACACGUGGAUAACCUACCUAUAAGACUGGGAUAACUUCGGGAAACCGGAGCUAAUACCGGAUAAUAUUUUGAACCGCAUGGUUCAAAAGUAAAAGACGGUCUUGCUGUCACUUAUAGAUGGAUCCGCGCUGCAUUAGCUAGUUGGUAAGGUAACGGCUUACCAAGGCAACGAUGCAUAGCCGACCUGAGAGGGUGAUCGGCCACACUGGAACUGAGACACGGUCCAGACUCCUACGGGAGGCAGCAGUAGGGAAUCUUCCGCAAUGGGCGAAAGCCUGACGGAGCAACGCCGCGUGAGUGAUGAAGGUCUUCGGAUCGUAAAACUCUGUUAUUAGGGAAGAACAUAUGUGUAAGUAACUGUGCACAUCUUGACGGUACCUAAUCAGAAAGCCACGGCUAACUACGUGCCAGCAGCCGCGGUAAUACGUAGGUGGCAAGCGUUAUCCGGAAUUAUUGGGCGUAAAGCGCGCGUAGGCGGUUUUUUAAGUCUGAUGUGAAAGCCCACGGCUCAACCGUGGAGGGUCAUUGGAAACUGGAAAACUUGAGUGCAGAAGAGGAAAGUGGAAUUCCAUGUGUAGCGGUGAAAUGCGCAGAGAUAUGGAGGAACACCAGUGGCGAAGGCGACUUUCUGGUCUGUAACUGACGCUGAUGUGCGAAAGCGUGGGGAUCAAACAGGAUUAGAUACCCUGGUAGUCCACGCCGUAAACGAUGAGUGCUAAGUGUUAGGGGGUUUCCGCCCCUUAGUGCUGCAGCUAACGCAUUAAGCACUCCGCCUGGGGAGUACGACCGCAAGGUUGAAACUCAAAGGAAUUGACGGGGACCCGC